ACUGACAGCCAUGGUUACCGCGGCUGCUGGCACGGAGUUAGCCGGUGCUUCUUCUGCGAGUAACGUCACAGAUGUAAGGUAUUAACUUACACCCUUUCCUCCUCGCUGAAGUGCUUUACAACCCGAAGGCCUUCUUCACACACGCGGCAUGGCUGCAUCAGGGUUUUCCCCCAUUGUGCAAUAUUCCCCACUGCUGCCUCCCGUAGGAGUCUGGGCCGUGUCUCAGUCCCAGUGUGGCUGAUCAUCCUCUCAGACCAGCUAGGGAUCGUCGCCUAGGUGAGCCUUUACCUCACCUACUAGCUAAUCCCACCUGGGCUUAUCCAUCAGCGCAAGGCCCGAAGGUCCCCUGCUUUCCCCCGUAGGGCGUAUGCGGUAUUAGCAGUCGUUUCCAACUGUUAUCCCCCACAAAUGGGCAAAUUCCCAGGCAUUACUCACCCGUCCGCCGCUCGUCAUCUUCAAAAGCAAGCUUUUGAAAUGUUACCGCUCGACUUGCAUGUGUUGGCCUGCCGCCAGCGUUCAAUC
Molecule: ribosomal RNA, 522 nt
Filed under: uncultured bacterium
Lineage: Bacteria
Description: partial 16S ribosomal RNA
Source: RNAcentral